UACGUAGGGGGCAAGCGUUGUCCGGAUUUACUGGGCGUAAAGAGCGCGCAGGCGGCUAUACCGUAAGUCGGCUGUGAAAGCCUCGGGCUCAACCCGGGGAGGUCGGUCGAUACUGCGGGGCUUGGAAGGCGGUAGGGGGAGAUGGAAUUCCCGGUGUAGUGGUGAAAUGCGUAGAUAUCGGGAGGAACACCGAUGGCGAAAGCGAUCUCCUGGGCCGCCCUUGACGCUGAGGCGCGAAAGCGUGGGGAGCGAACUGA
RNAcentral lists this ribosomal RNA (257 nucleotides) under uncultured bacterium. RNAcentral's name for it is "partial 16S ribosomal RNA". It matches the Rfam family "Bacterial small subunit ribosomal RNA", at positions 524 to 776 of the family's 1533-position model. The record is from RNAcentral.